RNAcentral lists this long non-coding RNA (1815 nucleotides) under Mus musculus (house mouse). RNAcentral's name for it is "long non-coding RNA chr8:73362100-73363915". The record is from RNAcentral. Lineage: Eukaryota; Metazoa; Chordata; Mammalia; Rodentia; Muridae.
AUGAGGCAGGAGAACUCAGCAUGAUUGAGUGAUUGAAUGAAGGCCAGUGUAUCUGAAGCUUAUUGAGUAGGAGGGGUAGUCUUGAAAAGAAGAAUGGGACGUGAACAGCUGUUUGGGAGAUAUUUAAGGAAAUCAACAAGAGAUGAACAAAUGGAUUGCCAAGUAGCAGUGUGGUCCCAUUGAAAUUAGCACAAAUUAAUGCUGAUAAAAGGCAAUACAGUUCUGGGACUUCCUCCAGCAACCUUCUAACAUUCUGCUUGUGUUCAGUUCUUGCUUCUGUUGGGUAGAUUCAAGAAACCCAGCUUAAUCUUUUGUGAUGGUCCAACUGGUUUCCUCAACUCUGCCCUUCUCUAGCCCUGGGUGUGAAGGCUACUUAACCUCCCAAGUAGGCUGACCUUGACCUGUAGUCUGUGAUCCUCUGCAUUACACAGGGGAGUUGUGUGAAAGUUGUCCUACUUUUCCUGUAAAUGGAGUUGGCACAUGUUCUCUCUCCAAUCUCCCUCCCAGUGGAGGAUGAAAUGGCCUUUCAAUAUGUGUGCACUUGCUGCAACCACUUCCAUUCAACUGUGCUUCCUCUUGGGAAACUCAUGCCCCAUCUCAGCUUCCAUUUAAGCAAUGGUUCUGUCUUCCUAAUGCUGCUGCCCUUUAAUGCAGUUCCUUUGAAAUGGUGACUCCCAACCAUAAAAUUAUUUUGUUGCUAUUUUAUAACUGUAAUUUUGCUACUGUUAUGAUUAUAAGGUAAAAAUCUGAUAUGCUGGAUAUCUGAUAUGUGACCCCCAAAAGUAUCAUAACUUAAAGGUUGAGAACCACUGAUUUAGAAAAAGAUCCAUAGUCCAACUUUCUUAACCAUUUCCCCUUCUUAUAUAAAAAACACACAAGAGAAGUUCUUAUUCUGGAAGUCACCAACUGCAGAAUAGCUAGGAUCUGUAUAGGACACCUUUAAUUCUAACAGUGCAGAGACUGGCGGUGUUUCCUUGGAGUCACCUAAUCCAUUUCUGUUACAAUUAAAACUAAUUCCCCAUGGUUUAGACCUUGGUAGAAAACAGACGAUACUAGCCAUGAUUUCCCCACAAAGGCAAUGUUCCUAUCACAUACACACAAACACAAAUUAAAUUAGUCCUAUAUACUUAAAAGAAUUUCAAGGGUAGCUCCUGUUGUUUACACCAAAAGCCUGAAAACAGACGAUACUAGCCAUAAUUUCCCCACAAAGGCAAUGUUCCUAUCACACACACACAAACACAAAUUAAAUUAGUUCUAUAUACUUAAAAGAAUUUCAAGGGUAGCUCCUGUUGUUUUCACUAAAAGCCUGAAGGACAGCAAUACCUUGAAACUUUCUGGCACUUACCUUUUUUUUUUUCUUUUUUUUCUGAAGCACUUUUCUUCUUUUCUUUUUUGCACACACAUUAUCUCAUUUUGUCCACUUACUGACUCGAAUUAAGGAGGAUGGAUAUAAUCUACUCUUGGGAGAAAAAUAAAACUUGGGUUUGAUUUACUCCUGUAUAGGUUUGAGAUCCUGCCGGAGCAUUUUGAGACCUCAACUACAUGGCUUCGACUGCUGAGCUGAUUUGAUCUUUAUUCACUGUUUGACCUUUUAUCAAAGGUCCCCAAAGAUAAUAAUAGCCACCACCCAUUGUUGAGCAUUUAAUAAAUUCAAACACUGUGCUUCCUGCCAGAUUUCUGUGUACUUUAUCUUUCAACUCUUGAAGGAGGUGGUUUCAUUACUGAGCUGGCUUUUCAGAUGAGUUUGCCUACUCCUCACAAACUCCAAUGCCAGAGACUUCAGCCUCUGUGCUCCUGUGAUUGUUUGUACAUGGU